Molecule: long non-coding RNA, 2694 nt
Organism: Gasterosteus aculeatus aculeatus (three-spined stickleback)
Lineage: Eukaryota; Metazoa; Chordata; Actinopteri; Perciformes; Gasterosteidae
Source: Ensembl
GUCCCACCGAGCUCUGUGAGGGCUUUGCUGUGUGUUUGGAGGUUCUCUGGCACAGGAGACGUUGGUCCCACGUCGUGUGUUCUGACCCGAUACCUGCACUCAGGUACACAGGUACACAGGUACACAGGUACACCGGUACACCUGUCUCUGCAGUUGUCUCCAGCCUGUCUGGUCUUGAUGAGCUCAGCAGCCUGACAUCCGGAAUGCAGCCGUCCGCCUGCUGUGACAACAGGACGCGUUUUAGAAGCACGGAAUGUAGAUGAGCCGCCGUGUCGUAACCGCUCGCGUCACACAAGCGCAACUGAAUGUCCCAAGAAAACUGAGAAAGAGCCGUAACACGCGUGUGCGGAGUGACUGUGAUCGGGGUCAGCUGAGGCCGCGGCGUGUCCUCCUCAAGGUGCUACAUUGCUUCUAAUCCUCGGCUCGUGUGUCCUGCCAGAUCCCUGCAGCUACAGGCCUCCGUCCUACUGAAUGCUGUGGCUCCAGAUCCCUGUGACGGAGUCUCAGGAGUGUGCUAGAUGACGGGAGGGUGUCUACUAUGAGACUCUGAGGCUCUGUCCCCAGCUGCGUGCCCAUGGGCCCGUGGGCCCGUCCCUGGCCUAGAAAGGGAACAAAGAGCAGGCAGUGCAGCGUGGCUGUGCUCCGCGGCGUACACAGGGCUGUUGUAAGUGCUCUCUCAUGCGUGCUCACAGGGACUCAAGUACGCGUGCUUCAGUUUCCACACAUCACGGCUGACGUUUGGAAGCACUUGGCUGGGCUACAUAUUUCUCCUCCCAUGUCCUCACUGGAUCUCUGCACACGGGUUCCACUGAUGACCGCUAGUCAGCCUCCGUAUCGGCCCACUGCAAAGACACACGUGCUACAGAUGCAGAAACAAAAGCCCACGUCGGCUCCAUCAGUUUCAGCUGGUCCUGAGCAAGGCUAAAGCCUGUAGGACGGGGGGUAGAGGACCUAAUGUCCCAGACAGGAUCACACGGGGCCGUAACUCAGCAUGGACGAGAUCGUCAUCGCAGGGAUCUCGGGCCGUCUGCCCGAGUCCAACAACCUGGAGGAAUUCUGGGAAAACCUCAUCAAUGGCGUCGACAUGGUGACGGAGGACGACCGGCGGUGGACACCAGGCACGGCAGCUCUGCCCCAACAUGCCCCCCGUGAUGGAUGUGGAUUUUCUUUGUUCUGAUCACUUUGAAUAAAAGCUGUUUGACGUGCAGGACGACCACAUUCCUCUCGCUGCAUAUCAGGGACCGACCUGCUCUGCUGGUUAGAGACACUCUGAGGACGGAGACGCCCUGUUGUUCCUCCCUGUGCUGGCUGCCAGUCCCCGGUCUGUCUCUUUGGGUAUCGCUGGUUUCCUGAAGCCCUCAUGCACGUACAUUUGCAAACGUAGCGUUCUCAGCGCCACAGCCGGCGUGCAGAGAGCGCUCGCUGUGACACUUUAGUUCACGCCGUAUUUACAUCAGGUGAUCAGCGCCUUUCUCCUCCCACUACGCCGCACAGCGCGAGCAUUUAAACGCGGCGUGAACGGACCUCCUUCUCUUUCUAUCACGGAUCAGAGAGAAGUCCAUGUGUUAUUUGCGUGGUGGGAGACGUGUGCGCUGUAGCAAAGCGUUGUGUACUUGUGCUGAGUGCAGACUGAGAUAUUCCCCCUGCUGAUGCUGUGACUGUCUGAAAUGAUCCUGGUCUAACCAUUGGAAUGUGGCUGCAGCGAUGGAAUGUGGACGCUGAGUAGGAGAUGCAAUGUCACCUUUGAUUUCUUCCAGUAACUGUAAUGUUGCUGCUUCAUCUGUAACGCGUCUUAUCGGCCUCUGUGGCUCUGAUGACUGCUGUCAUUUCACCAGGAGCCAAAUGGGAGGAAACCCGCAUUCUGCUUUUACAAGGCCGAUCAUUCUCACCGCCGCUUUACCCGUCCCCGCCCAUCGCUUUAUGGGACACUCCCCCUUCCCCCUGACGCUCCCGUCAAUGCAUAUUCAUGACACGGAAAAGCACGAUUAGCCUGUUUCAGUUUCCACCGUCUGCGCUUUCAGCUCCGUGCGGCUUGUUUGUAGAAACCUCGCUGUGCUGUAACGCACACGUUGCAGAACGAAAGUGUUCGUACACGAGACCCUCUGCCUCUUUGGUGCGCUGGGGGGGUCAGGGUUUGAACACAACGUAUGAUGCGUCAUCAUGCCGGUUUGCUUUUUCCUGUCUGACGAUUGAACCUAAUUUAGACUUGUAAGUUCUAUGCUAAUAACUGCUGUCUGUCCUGCGUUUACAUUCUUUAUGUGUUAGUUCUAUAAAGAUCCAUAUGUCAGUGCGUUCUGUCUGAGUUGAUCUCAGACGGUUACCAUGACGAUCUGCGCUGUCAGGAAGUGAACCUCAGCGUCCCUCAAAGCAUUCUCUGCUGUGGUUCAGAGUGCUGCUGUAGCAGCGUGCACAGAGACCCGAUUCAGAGCAGCAACGGCCGCUUGCAUGCAUCUGAUUGGCCGGUGUGGGCCGGGUGCUUGCAUGCAUCUGAUUGGCCGGUGUGGGCCGGGUGCUUGCAUGCAUCUGAUUGGCCGGUGUGGGCCGAGCCCUUUGUUACUGACGGGACUCGUAUGAAUGAGGAGGAUUCUCACACUGGUCGUCCUCCAAACGACCCUUCGCUGUUUCAUUGUGUUAUUGGUGCACCUCAUGUCACUGCUGUCCCACUACCCCCCUCCAGGUUGCAGUUAUUUCCCC